This 82-nucleotide transfer RNA is filed under the name Flavobacteriales bacterium. RNAcentral describes it as "tRNA-OTHER". The stretch from base 26 to 82 matches the Rfam family "tRNA". Rfam says of the family: Transfer RNA (tRNA) molecules are approximately 80 nucleotides in length. Their secondary structure includes four short double-helical elements and three loops (D, anti-codon, and T loops). Lineage: Bacteria; Pseudomonadati; Bacteroidota; Flavobacteriia; Flavobacteriales. The record is from RNAcentral.
GGACAUUCAGGAUCACCACACGAAAGGGCCAUUUCCAUGCUUCACACGCAUGAGGUCACUGGUUCGAAUCCAGUAUGUCCCA